Molecule: unclassified non-coding RNA, 395 nt
Filed under: uncultured fungus
Lineage: Eukaryota; Fungi
Description: partial contains small subunit ribosomal RNA, internal transcribed spacer 1, and 5.8S ribosomal RNA
Rfam family: 5.8S ribosomal RNA (bases 347-395)
Source: RNAcentral
GCAAACUUGGUCAUUUAGAGGAAGUAAAAGUCGUAACAAGGUUUCCGUAGGUAAGUUGAAAAUCUUUCCAUCCUUAACAAACCUCCCCAACCCCCCUUUAAUGCCUGCUUUUGAAUGAUAUGCUGACUUUUUCUCAAAGGUGAACCUGCGGAAGGAUCAUUAUCGAGUGUGAACCCCCCCGUAAAAAAGGGGGGUUACCUCCCGUCCUUUGCUUAGGCAUACCCUAUUCCAUUGGAAAGGGGUUUGCUUUUCAAACCUUUCUGCUUCGGCGGGGUUACCUGCCGAAACAACCUCAAAAUUCUAAGUCAAAAACGGUUCAGUCCGAGAAAAACUUUGAAAAAGCGAAAACUUUCAACAACGGAUCUCUUGGUUCUGGCAUCGAUGAAGAACGCAGC